RNAcentral lists this ribosomal RNA (501 nucleotides) under uncultured bacterium. RNAcentral's name for it is "partial 16S ribosomal RNA". It matches the Rfam family "Bacterial small subunit ribosomal RNA", at positions 30 to 523 of the family's 1533-position model. The record is from RNAcentral.
AUUGAACGCUGGCGGCAUGCCUUACACAUGCAAGUCGAACGGCAGCACGGGUGCUUGCACCUGGUGGCGAGUGGCGAACGGGUGAGUAAUACAUCGGAACGUACCUUAUCGUGGGGGAUAACGCAGCGAAAGUUGCGCUAAUACCGCAUACGCCCUGAGGGGGAAAGCGGGGGACCGUAAGGCCUCGCGCGAUUAGAGCGGCCGAUGUCUGAUUAGCUUGUUGGUGAGGUAAAAGCUCACCAAGGCGAUGAGCAGUAGCUGGGCUGAGAGGACGAUCAGCCACACUGGGACUGAGACACGGCCCAGACUCCUGCGGGAGGCAGCAGUGGGGAAUUUUGGACAAUGGGGGCAACCCUGAUCCAGCAAUGCCGCGUGAGUGAAGAAGGCCUUCGGGUUGUAAAGCUCUUUUGUCAGGGAAGAAACAGCAGCUCUAACACAGUCUGCGAAUGACGGUACCUGAAGAAUAAGCACCGGCUAACUACGUGCCAGCAGCCGCCGUAA